GACGAACGCUGGCGGCGUGCCUAAUACAUGCAAGUUGAGCGCUGAAGGUUGGUACUUGUACCAACUGGAUGAGCAGCGCACGGGUGAGUAACGCGUGGGGAAUCUGCCUUUGAGCGGGGGACAACAUUUGGAAACGAAUGCUAAUACCGCAUAAAAACUUUAAACACAAGUUUUAAGUUUGAAAGAUGCAAUUGCAUCACUCAAAGAUGAUCCCGCGUUGUAUUAGCUAGUUGGUGAGGUAAAGGCUCACCAAGGCGAUGAUACAUAGCCGACCUGAGAGGGUGGUCGGCCACAUUGGGACUGAGACACGGCCCAAACGCCUACGGGAGGCAGCAGUAGGGAAUCUUCGGCAAUGGACGAAAGUCUGACCGAGCAACGCCGCGUGAGUGAAGAAGGUUUUCGGAUCGUAAAACUCUGUUGGUAGAGAAGAACGUUGGUGAGAGUGGAAAGCUCAUCAAGUGACGGUAACUACCCAGAAAGGGACGGCUAACUACGUG
RNAcentral lists this ribosomal RNA (497 nucleotides) under uncultured bacterium. RNAcentral's name for it is "partial 16S ribosomal RNA". It matches the Rfam family "Bacterial small subunit ribosomal RNA", at positions 28 to 507 of the family's 1533-position model. The record is from RNAcentral.